CCCGUAAAUGUAGAAACACCGGCGUUUUUUAAAAAAUACACCCUUCACUGUAAACCAAACUCCUGCGGUGGAGUUCCUGUUUACGACGCAUUUGUGUAAAUUUAGCUAAUCCGUGUGUGCAUAGCCUGAGCGGUGUUAGCCUCACGGUGCAGCGUGGGCCGGCGGCACAAUCCGGUGCCAUCUGGGUGUAAAACCCGCGAUAUUACACCUAGAACAUAACGUGUUAAACAACAGCAUGCUUAAUCUAAAACCUGCAUGUGAUAUUUGUAGGUAAAACCAAGAAAUAAACAUCUUUUCUCCAGUGUUGGUGCAGCCGGGCCGGCCGUGCGGCGGGCGCUGCCUCGGUGUCUCUCAGUGAUGAUACUUUUCACAGACCUGUCCUGAAUGACUGUGAUUGCACUUUAUUAUUCUGAUGGGAGACUCUACGAAAAGCUUUAGUGAAGUGUGAGCACGUUUGCAAGCUCCAGCAAGGCUUAUCACGUGGUGCUCUAUCUGUUGCAACCUGCUAAUUCAUCCCCUCUUUUCUAGAUGGUGAAGAAAAGUCUGGAAGCUUCCUCCUGCAGAGGUGUGAGGAAGAUGAGGAGAAACUGCUGCCUGCUCGAGGUAUGCUACACUGAAUGGCAGAGGGGCAGAAAAUCACCCUGACUGGUUGGCGCCCGCAGUGCUGUAACAGAGCCUCUAAAAAGCUGGCACGCCGACUGAAGUUGGACUCCAUGCAAAGCGAGGGAUGCUGACGGCUGCGUGACAAAGCCCCAUGACUCAACAUGAGGGCGCAGCAGCAAGUCACAUUGAAGGAUGAUUCAAGGAGACCUUUUGCUGGAUGGAUGUGGUAGACUGAGGUACCUGGAUAUGAGAGGAGACGGACUGCAGGACACAUGGACUUGGAGCAUCUACACAAACUAAGAUGUCAUUCAUCCAUGCAGUUCUGCGGUGCUGUUGAGUCUCACCUGUGCUCCUGUGCCCCGUCUCUGCUGGUCUUUCUGCUUUCAACUACCUGCAGUUCACCUGAGGAGUGGUGACGGGAUGAAGAAAGUAGCCUCCUGGAAUUGUGCAGAAGAGCAAUUAAAUGCAGCUCUGUGCCACUGGAGGUUGAUCAGUGAUCCUGCUGGGCUCCAUCUUGUCUCUGAUGCUGAUCUCCAACCAGGCGAGCUCUUGGACAGCUGUCUGCAGUUGGUGGCUGCACAGUAAGACUCAAACUUGCAGAUGUGCCGUCAUGGACGCUCUACUGUAGCCUGUCAUCUGGAGCUGCCAGUGUUGUCCUGAUCGUUCUGUUUACAGCUGUUACUCCCACAUGGAUUUUGCUUUUACAAAAAAUGUACAUGCAUGUUAAACCAGGUGUUCAAAGAACAAAGAUGAAUUUCUGUAUGAACACACCUGAUGAGCUCAUCAAAUCAGUCUGGAUUUCUUUUCUAGUGACCUUGUUAGCUUUGGUUCAUUAAUUCUGAAAUUGUAUUUGUGCAUCAAUCCACCAAGUGUUGUCCUGGAAUUUUUGUUGUGUUAAAAUAAAGUUUGUUUCACUUGGA
This is a long non-coding RNA of Myripristis murdjan (pinecone soldierfish), 1523 nucleotides long. RefSeq lists it as uncharacterized. NCBI's taxonomy places the organism in Eukaryota, Metazoa, Chordata, Actinopteri, Holocentriformes, Holocentridae. The record is from RefSeq and is a predicted model, not a curated record. The transcript is spliced from 13 exons.